ACACAGUAACACACACACACACACACACAGUUGAGCUGUUAUUCAGUAAGAAAAGCCUUCAAACCCACUCCUCUUCAUCCUCUUCAUCCUCCUCCCACACAUUCACACACAAACUCCAUUCAGAGUCGAGUGGAUCGUUCGGAGCAGACAGAAGAUCACAAUGUAAAUGUCUGCUGCCCCUCUAAUGACGCCUCCGACCCACGGGGCAGGUACCGUCACCGUGGCAACCCACGGGGCAGGUACCGUCACCGUGGCAACUCACAGCUGAUAAUUAACAGACAGGUUUUUAUUUAUUCUUCAACUUUAAACUAAAUGCAGAUGUCAUAUUUAAGACCUGGAGCAACAUGAGGACAUUUCUUUGACUUUGUUUCCUUCAGAGUGAAUUCACUUCCACACUUUAUUCAUUCUCAUAUUUAACGUUUGGAUUGAGUCUGCGUCGGCCGUCCAGCAGUCAGCAGUCCUCUUCCACACAUUGUUCAUUGUUCCUCUCCUGCCUCCACUGAGAGAGACAGACACACUGAUACUGUCUGUCUGCAUCACAUCGAGCUCAACAGCACAUUAACACUCAUAAAGAUCACUUAGACAAUCCCACAAUGCACCACAGAGCGUCUCUGCUGCAGGCUGCUGACAGCGAGGAACACAUUAGUCCCAUAUGUUCAAACAGCUGAUCAAUAAUCAGAGAAUCUGUCAGAAAGAAGAAUAUUAAGUCUGUUUGUUACAAUGAUAAAAAUACAGAGAAUGGAUCAAUAUGUCUGAUCAAUAUUCACAGGAAAUAAUCAAACUUCCUGCUGUUAUUGAGUUCACUGUUUGGGUCCAUUGAUCAGUUGAUCAGCUGUUGUUGUACAUUGAAUAUAAAAUAUAUAAUAUGUAACAGUCAGGGACAGAAAGGUUAGCAUUAGUUAGCAUCCACAGACGUCUCACCGUGUUUGUUUAUGUUUGUUGAUGAAAUAAAACGUAACAAUAAAUGAA
This is a long non-coding RNA of Dicentrarchus labrax (European seabass), 969 nucleotides long. RefSeq lists it as uncharacterized. The record is from RefSeq and is a predicted model, not a curated record. The transcript has 2 exons. NCBI's taxonomy places the organism in Eukaryota, Metazoa, Chordata, Actinopteri, Moronidae.